Molecule: non-coding RNA, 157 nt
Filed under: uncultured eukaryote
Lineage: Eukaryota
Source: RNAcentral
UACCAUCAGGAGUUUGUCACACCCCUCAGGAACGAGCUGCAGAAAGGCUGCCAGGCGCCGGAUCUCUUGAAGCUCAGGAAGGGCGCACAGGUGAUGCUUGUGCGCAACGAAAUCUCGGAUUCGCCGGAUCGCUUGGUAAAUGGCUCUCGCGGCACCG